UUCGGUAUCAGCUUGAAAUGAUGAACAAAUGGCGUGAUAAGCCGCUUGCUUGCCCAAACGUUUGUAUGUGUCCAAACGUCCUUCUGUGAUGUCGCAACUGAAAUGGAAAAAACAACUUGUGUUGUAACUAACCAAACGUCAGUCAGCUCUAAAUUGUUAGUUUCAGUCAUAACAAAAGUGUCAUCCUUUGAAUGGGACGUUAUCUUAUGUAACCGUCACGUACUGCCUCGAAGCAUUUGGCAUUUAAGCAAAGAAAAAAGCACGGGCAUUCCAUUUGCUUCUUCCACAUAGAGCUGUUGUUUAAAUUCUCGAUAUUUUUCUUCGAUAUACUUUUCGUUUUCUAUUCAUCUUCUAAUUUUCUUUUACAAUUCAUUUAUUCACUUAACCUGUGAAAUCAGAGAACUAGGAUAAACAGAUUUGCAUUUUUUGGCAUUUAAUGCUGUAAAUGCAUGUCAACGGUUGUCAAGGUGAUUGCGUUCUGUCAAAUAGCCUGGAGAGCAGCUUAAAAGUCUUGUGCCAUACGCGAUUGGAUGAACAUAAACUGAUCCUCAUCUUGGGGUGCAUCUUCUUGAGGCUCAGACCGCGGGGCAGAUUCAUCGGUGGAAGCAACAUCCACCACGAUGUCAUCGGCCGGUGCUUGGGAUUCAUCAGCGGUUUGUUUAACGUCUUGUUGGGCCUCGGCCGUUGGCUGGGCGAUGCUUACGGCGGCGGGAGAUUCAACUUUAGCUCGGCUUGCGAUAGCCUUGGCUUUUCUUUGUUGGAUCAACACGGAGCUAAGGAAACUCGAUAUGAAAUCAAAAUUGGAGUUUGCGUUGCUAUUUUGAUUGAUGUUGGUGUUUCCCGUCGGUUUGCAUUGGCUCGUCACGAUGCACACGGCCAAAACAAGAGCGAAAAGGGCGACCUGGAAAACGUAAAUAAUUCACAUCAAACCGUUACUAACAUCCGAUUUUCAAUAUAAAUCAAUUAGACAGCAUAGUAGAUAUGCAAGUAAAUUAAAAACAGAAAUGCUAUAUACAUUUAUAUUGUACUUACAAUGAUCCUCAUAGUGAUUGAUUGAAAUGGAAAAGAGCUGGAAAUGCUUUGAAGUCAAACUGGAAACUUGUGGUGACUUUGAUGACUUUUAGUGCGUCUUUAUAUACAAGUAGCGUACAGACAGUGCACCUUUGAAUUCAAGUGGUUGUGGAAUGAGCUUCUAAUUAUUUCGCAAAACUUCACCAUUUGGAAGGGUCCUUUGUUAAUCAGUGCACUUGGGUUCCUUCGUAUCAUCUUUGCUCUCUAAAGGGAAACCUUUGAAAUGACGAUGUGGCAAGCCGGAAAACAGCCAAAACCCUGCAGGAAAACAUACGGAAAUAAUCAAUUGCCGGCAUAAUGAGGAAAAUAAAUCAAAAAAGUACUGUAGAACUCAAACGAACUUGCAGAUACUAACCUAGUUCUAAUUGCAAGGCCGUGUAUUUUUAGUUGCUGUGGUGUUCAGUUUGCGGUUUAAACUUCCCGUCAUCACAAGGUUUCAGGUAAUAUGUAAUGGUUCCUCAUGAAUUCCAGCCAAUUAAUUGGGUUGACAAGCACGUAGUUAAUCUGGCCAGAUUAACGAUAAUUUUAACUAGAUAAAAAUAAAAGUCUCUCGCCGAGGACCUUGACAAUGGGAAAUGAAUAUCGGAAGAAACAGUUUUAGUAUAAAAGCAUUUCGUCUGUCAGUGUAAAUUCAGCACACUCGUCGUUCUCACCCUCCUGCACCACAACUUCAGCGAAUAAACAUGCAUUUAACGGCAUCAGUUAUCAUCGCAUUAGUUUGCAUGGCCUCAUCCAUUAAUGCUAGUUCGUCCAAUGGUCCCAAUGAAACCUAACCGACCAUUGAUGAAUCGUCCAUCAUCAGAGACGAACAUCAACACCAACAACAACGAAAAUGACAAUUUGCAAUUCAGCUCACUAUUUUCUGAACUGAUUGCCAACGCAGAACCCUGAACAAGAUCCGUGUGAGAUUGCCGAUGACGAUGACUCUUGUUUCUGGAAAAUGAUUGGAGCUGAUGCUCUCGUGAAAUCACAAGGGUCGGCCCAGAAAACCGAAGACAAAGUUGCGGCUGAUGAUGAGACGCCAAGCCUCGAAAAAGCAUUGGAUAAUUCUAAAAGCCUUCGAUCCCGCCCUGUUUUUGGCUCUACUAAUUAUAAUCUCAACUCUAACAACAACGAAAACUCCAAGUUCAACUCUCUUUACGCAUCCCUGCAGCAGUUUUUAAGGAACAAGAAUAAGAAACUUAUUGCCAUCGACACGAUCAUAAAACAAGAAUGAUAUAGUUCUGGUAGUCAUGGCAACUAUCAAAUGGGACAAUCGACAACGGCGAUACGAUGUUUUCGGUUUUCUUGGUUAGGAAUAUUUCAAUGCAUAUUGUGCAUAUAUAAAUUGUUCUAGCAAUGCAGUCGAUUAACAACACUAUACACCAGGUUUUUGUAAUGGACUGGAUUGUGUUAAAAUAUUGUGAAAUGGAUAGAUAUACAGUUAAAUUCUAUAAA
Molecule: long non-coding RNA, 2508 nt
Organism: Daphnia magna
Lineage: Eukaryota; Metazoa; Arthropoda; Branchiopoda; Diplostraca; Daphniidae
Exons: 3
Source: RefSeq, a predicted model, not a curated record